ACAGCAGCCGCCGCGGGAAAACGGAGGGAGCUAGCGUUGUUCGGAAUUACUGGGCGUAAAGCGCACGUAGGCGGCUACUCAAGUCGGGGGUGAAAGCCCGGGGCUCAACCCCGGAACUGCCCUCGAAACUAGGUAGCUAGAAUCUUGGAGAGGUCAGUGGAAUUCCGAGUGUAGAGGUGAAAUUCGUAGAUAUUCGGAAGAACACCAGUGGCGAAGGCGACUGACUGGACGAGUAUUGACGCUGAGGUGCGAAAGCGUGGGGAGCAAACAGGAUUAGAUACCCCGGUAGUCCCUGUCUCUUAUAC
This 305-nucleotide ribosomal RNA is filed under the name uncultured bacterium. Its description in RNAcentral is "partial 16S ribosomal RNA". It matches the Rfam family "Bacterial small subunit ribosomal RNA", at positions 508 to 807 of the family's 1533-position model. The record is from RNAcentral.